AGGGUUAAAGUGCAGAGGUUAUGUCCUCGAGUCUCCUGGGGCCAGUUGCUCAUAAAGUGUAAUCUGGAUCAGAAUGAUCUGGAUUUGGAGAUCCCAUACACACUUUUCCAGAUUUCCAAAUCUAGAUUACUAGAGCUCUACGGAGCCCCUAAAGGGACAUGCUGAUUGGAAAAAAAAGAGAGAUGGAGGAAAGCAUGCUAAUGUUUUGCAUUGCGUUUACACAAAUAACUACUUCUG
Molecule: long non-coding RNA, 237 nt
Organism: Sinocyclocheilus grahami
Lineage: Eukaryota; Metazoa; Chordata; Actinopteri; Cypriniformes; Cyprinidae
Exons: 2
Source: RefSeq, a predicted model, not a curated record